RNAcentral lists this long non-coding RNA (2906 nucleotides) under Capsicum annuum. RNAcentral describes it as "long non-coding RNA (CANN_LNC003421)". Lineage: Eukaryota; Viridiplantae; Streptophyta; Magnoliopsida; Solanales; Solanaceae. The record is from RNAcentral.
UUUAGUUUUCUUGUUUUUAUUUUCUGUACAAUUCACGCUCAUGAAGUUAUGGGUUCAAGUCUUGAAAAAAUCUCUGACAGAAAUGCAAGUUAAGGCUGCAUACAAUAGAUUCUUGUGGUCGGGUUGUUUUGCUGAUCCUGCACAUAAUGGGAGUUUUAGUGCACCGGGACUGCCCUUUAUACAAUUUACGUGGAGGGGUGGGUGCCUUCGAGUAAUUUGUAAAGUUACUGCUAUGUGAUAGUGAAAUCAUAGGCUCGAGCAGUGAAAACAAGACUCCGACAGAAAUGCAUAAGACUGCAUACAAUAGUCCCUCAUGAUCCUGCCUUUCUUCUGACCCCUUGUAGCGAAAAUUUUAGUACAUCAGUAGUGUUUUCACUUUUGACAGUUCACUCACUCUGUAGAAGAAGAGAUGUGUGAGGAGCUGAAUGGAAAAAUAAAAUAAAAAAAAAGGAAAAGAAAGUGGAGUUUCUGUUAAGUCAUCAUUGAGAAGAGAAGAAAGGGGAAGGGAAAGGUCAAAAGGAAAGGGACAAAAGAACAAUCUUUUGCUAUAGUAUUUUAACUGUUUUUGAUUAGGUGUGAAAAAUCUUUAAUCGAAAGUAUAUUUUACGACACAAAUGAUUUUUCUAAUCAUUUGAUGAUGUUGAUUUUAUUACCAGUUAAAGCUUAAACGAACAUAUACGUUACGUUAUUAUAAUUGUAGUGGAUCAUGAUGUUGGUUGUUGCGUUAAUGAUGAACCAGUAAAAAAAGAGUAGCUAUACGCAUAUAGCAGGUGGGUCCACCCUUAAUUACGAGUUGAAAAUAUAAUCCCUUAAAUAACAAAAGGAUAACAAUCAAUAAACUAAAGGAGAUUAAAUUCUAUAGAUAAAUAAUGUAUAAAAAGUAUGUUCACAACAAUAUAUCAGUAAGAUUGACGAGUGAAAUAUGGUAAUGCUGGGAACACACGUAAUAAAGAUAGAUUAUUUUUAAUAAACUUUUAGUAGGUUCACAAUCAUGUGUCAAUGAUAUUGAUUUGUAAUAAAAUGGGAACUGAUUUACUAGAAUAAAUUAAAUUAUACUACUAUUUCUGAUAAUAUAAAAAACUCUAUACGCUAUUAUAUAGGAGUACUUCAUAACUUGAAGCCUCGUCACAAAGCAAAAACACAUGCAUACACGUAUAUGUGUGUGUAUUCUCAAGUGUUCUGCCUUUGGUUUCCAUCUCUAUUUGUUUUAAUACAAUACUGCAAUUAUUACAAAACGAGAGACAAUAGAGUUGUUAAGGAGAGUUUAUUUUCUCCAAUUUUGUAUCUUCUGUUUGGCAAAUUCUGAAGGAGGGAGGGGACAGCCAAGAUCCAAAUAAGAUAUAGAACAAGGGAUUGGAAAUAUGUUUUUGGUGUGUGAGCAAUCAUUAAUAUAAUACUACAAAUAAGAUGUGAAAAAAAAUUGAGAAUUGUGAUUGCCAAAGACCACAAUUUGUUCUUUGUCCAACAAAGGAAAAAAAAUACUCCUAAAAGAAAGUUGACUUUUUAGGCUUCCAAGAAAAAAACUUGGAAAGGAGACAAAAAGGAAUUUUAUUUGUCAUGUCUUCAAUACCAGUAAACCCGUGAACUUGUGCUCCUUCCCAAUUUUUACAUUUUUUAAACCAGGAAAGAAAAUGACAUUAAUAGCCUUUUUUCUUACGUGAUAGCAUUGGAAUUUAGAAGCGCCCCCCGCUCCCCGUUGCAAAUUAUGUGUCGGGGAUUUUUGAAAAUAGUUGUUUCAAAUUAUUUAUUGUUCCAGAAGUUCAAGACAACUAUCCAUUUUACCCUUAAUUGGUUUUGUCUUGAAGACUAUAAACACCUUAAUUAUGGUUUGAUGUUGUGAUUGUUCAAAUAUUAAUGAAAGAUAAAAUAGUUAAAAAUCGUCCUAAAUAAUGUCUUUUAAGAGACUGUAAAAGAGAAUCACCGGAGGUAAAUUUGAGACGGAGAGAGUAAUCUCUUCUUUAAAUGAGUAAUUAAUGCCUAUAUGCUUUCUUGGAAUCGCGUAAGGCUAAAGUUGGAAACAUAAUUUCAGCCUUAUUGGUUUUCUAAAGCUACAAAUAUAAAGUUAGAAUUAGUUAAACCUCGUAAAAUAUAACUCUACUCUCUUGAUGAUCAGACAAGUGCAACCAUUGUGUUUAUGGUCUUUGUUGUGUCAUUGUGGCUUAGUUUAUUUAUGAUUUAAUCCAAAUAUUGCGGCAUUUGUUCGAAGUUAGGGGGAACAAAAAUGUUCAUUUGACAAAACUAAUUUUUGGAUCUUUCAGAAAAAAUAGAAAAAACUGAUCUACCAAAUCUUCAAUAGCCAGAACAAUCCAAGGAGACGAUAGUAAACUGAAAAACUGAGUUUUCAAAUUCAGUUCUUCAAAUCCUCAAACAAACGCCACUGAACCUCAUUGGAUGGUCCGGUUACCAAGUACCAACCAGGGGCGGAUACAUAGUUUAUUGUUCGAAUCUAUAGAUCCUUGUAAUUUCAGCCCAGACCUUGUAUAUCUAUUAGUGACAAGUGAGCGAUCACCAGAACUCAUAAACUUUAUCAACCCUUUGAAAAUCUUCAAGAGGUCUAGUUGUCAAUGUAGACCAACACGCACUUCAUAUUUAUUAUCCAGUUGUAGUUGUUGUAAUUACAAGAAACCAACCAUAAGGGCAACAAAAAAGAUAGUACAAGAGAAAAAAAAAAAUAUAAUUAUCAAGUAGUGGUGUUACCUGGCCAAAACAUUGCCAUAAUCAUUGGUAGGUCCAAUCUUUGAAGGCUAGUUUUAUUGCGACUUUUUUGCUUGUCAGAGCAUAAGUUCUUCAUCUUUGGCCGUAGCCACAUCUACUAAAAAAUGCUCAAACCUAACAAUGAAAGGCCUUAGCUUUGAUAUAAAAGCUCUGACAAUUUUGUUGCCAACUUGCUACUCAUAUUUAUAGUA